RNAcentral lists this ribosomal RNA (1257 nucleotides) under Klebsiella pneumoniae. RNAcentral describes it as "bacterial LSU rRNA". It matches the Rfam family "Bacterial large subunit ribosomal RNA", at positions 1157 to 2398 of the family's 2925-position model. Lineage: Bacteria; Pseudomonadati; Pseudomonadota; Gammaproteobacteria; Enterobacterales; Enterobacteriaceae. The record is from RNAcentral.
GCCUGCGCGGAAGAUGUAACGGGGCUAAACCAUGCACCGAAGCUGCGGCAGCGACACUAUGUGUUGUUGGGUAGGGGAGCGUUCUGUAAGCCUGCGAAGGUGACCUGUGAGGGUUGCUGGAGGUAUCAGAAGUGCGAAUGCUGACAUAAGUAACGAUAAAGCGGGUGAAAAGCCCGCUCGCCGGAAGACCAAGGGUUCCUGUCCAACGUUAAUCGGGGCAGGGUGAGUCGACCCCUAAGGCGAGGCCGAAAGGCGUAGUCGAUGGGAAACAGGUUAAUAUUCCUGUACUUGGUGUUACUGCGAAGGGGGGACGGAGAAGGCUAUGUUAGCCGGGCGACGGUUGUCCCGGUUUAAGCAUGUAGGCUGGUUAUCCAGGCAAAUCCGGAUAAUCAAGGCUGAGGUGUGAUGACGAGGCACUACGGUGCUGAAGUAACAAAUGCCCUGCUUCCAGGAAAAGCCUCUAAGCAUCAGGUAACAUCAAAUCGUACCCCAAACCGACACAGGUGGUCAGGUAGAGAAUACCAAGGCGCUUGAGAGAACUCGGGUGAAGGAACUAGGCAAAAUGGUGCCGUAACUUCGGGAGAAGGCACGCUGGUGUGUAGGUGAAGCCCCUGCGGGUGGAGCUGAGACCAGUCGAAGAUACCAGCUGGCUGCAACUGUUUAUUAAAAACACAGCACUGUGCAAACACGAAAGUGGACGUAUACGGUGUGACGCCUGCCCGGUGCCGGAAGGUUAAUUGAUGGGGUUAUCCGUAAGGAGAAGCUCUUGAUCGAAGCCCCGGUAAACGGCGGCCGUAACUAUAACGGUCCUAAGGUAGCGAAAUUCCUUGUCGGGUAAGUUCCGACCUGCACGAAUGGCGUAAUGAUGGCCAGGCUGUCUCCACCCGAGACUCAGUGAAAUUGAACUCGCUGUGAAGAUGCAGUGUACCCGCGGCAAGACGGAAAGACCCCGUGAACCUUUACUAUAGCUUGACACUGAACAUUGAGCCUUGAUGUGUAGGAUAGGUGGGAGGCUUUGAAGCGUGGACGCCAGUCUGCGUGGAGCCAACCUUGAAAUACCACCCUUUAAUGUUUGAUGUUCUAACGUUGGCCCCUUACCGGGGUUGCGGACAGUGUCUGGUGGGUAGUUUGACUGGGGCGGUCUCCUCCCAAAGCGUAACGGAGGAGCACGAAGGUUAGCUAAUCCUGGUCGGACAUCAGGAGGUUAGUGCAAUGGCAUAAGCUAGCUUGACUGCGAGCGUGACGGCGCGAGCAGGU